Molecule: ribosomal RNA, 405 nt
Filed under: uncultured bacterium
Lineage: Bacteria
Description: bacterial SSU rRNA
Rfam family: Bacterial small subunit ribosomal RNA
Source: RNAcentral
AAUGGGCGGGAGCCUGAACCAGCCAAGUCGCGUGAAGGAAGAAGGAUCUAUGGUUCGUAAACUUCUUUUGCAGGGGAAUAAAGUGCAGGACGUGUCCUGUUUUGUCUGUACCCUGAGAAUAAGGGUCGGCUAACUUCGUGCCAGCAGCCGCGGUAAGACGAAGGACCCAAGCGUUAUCCGGAUUUAUUGGGUUUAAAGGGUGCGUAGGCGGGUUGUUAAGUCAGUGGUGAAAGCCUAGAGCUUAACUCUAGAAUUGCCAUUGAUACUGACGAUCUUGAGGAUAGUUGAGGUGGGCGGAAUGUAUCAUGUAGCGGUGAAAUGCCUAGAGAUGAUACAGAACACCGAUUGCGAAGGCAGCUCACUAAGCUAUUUCUGACGCUGAGGCACGAAAGCGUGGGGAUCAAA